Molecule: long non-coding RNA, 271 nt
Filed under: Mytilus galloprovincialis (Mediterranean mussel)
Lineage: Eukaryota; Metazoa; Mollusca; Bivalvia; Mytilida; Mytilidae
Source: RNAcentral
AAUAAAAUUGAGAAUGGAAAUGGGGAAUGUGUCAAAGAGACAACAACCCAACCAUAGAAAAAACAACAGCAGAAGGUCACCAACAGGUCUUCAAUGUAGCGAGAAAUUCCAGCACCUGGAGGCGUGCUUCAGCUGGCCCCUAAACAAAUAUACUAGUUCAGUGAUGACUAGCCAAAUUAAUAUUAUUCAAGGUGUUGGGUACCACCUUAAAGUAUAUACUAGAUGGUGUCACUAAAAUGUGUAUAAGAUUUUCACAAUAUUGUUCGAAAAA